AAAAUACACGGAAAAUAAUGCAUAGAAAAUACAAAUUUGACCAGAUCUGAAUUAAUGAGUCAAAGACUCAGUCUUCCAUGCAGAUUGGUCAAAGAUGGCCCUUCAGAUAAAGUCCAGGUUCAUCCGAACUAGAUGGAUGCACGGGGUAAAGAAAAGGACGCUUACUGGACUGUCCGGAUGGUCCGCCGGAUAAGAAUGCAUGUUCGUCUUCGGUUUCUUCACGACCCAAGCUAAGUCUGGCUCGACCGUGGGUCUUAGAAUGUCGAGUUGGUCGGGGAAGACGGGCUGUGGUUCG
RNAcentral lists this long non-coding RNA (295 nucleotides) under Brassica napus (rape). RNAcentral's name for it is "long non-coding RNA (BNAP_LNC025251)". Lineage: Eukaryota; Viridiplantae; Streptophyta; Magnoliopsida; Brassicales; Brassicaceae. The record is from RNAcentral.